UGACGUCAGCCGGGGGCGGGGGGGACACGUUUUACCCAGCCCCCCUGUCCCAGUCGCCGUCCCCCCUUCCCUUGGUGGCUCUCGCAGCCGGCUCCGCUCCCGGCUCGGCCGCUCUUCGCGGGAGCGCUCUGACAGCACCUGCAGGACAGCGCGGGCACUCGGAGCCGGGAAGGGGAAUAAGGUUCCCCUAAUGAGUCUGCUGUGGACCCUACUGCUGAUUCAGAAAGUAAUCCAGACAAGACUUGCAUGUUUUCUGCUCCAUUCUUUGGGUCAAGAACACACUGGUUAAUAGCCAAUUAUUUCAUGCCCUAAGGAAAUUUUGGCAAAGAAGUUCCUGGGAAGAGUCAACUUGUUUUGGGAAAUGAAACUAAUAUUCACUUUCCAAAUUCUGAAGCCGGCUGAAAUUUUCCUGGACUGCCUAAACCAGAAUGUGCAGUUCCAGCUAAGAUAUCUAAAGGCACAAAGAGCUGAGGAAGGCUGGCAUGCCGAGGAGGGGAGAGGCCAGGAUUGUCACCCAGAGCUCCCAGAGCAGGUGUGCCUGGGCAGCUCUGGGCUCCCACACUGCAGCCAAGGCUUUCAAGAGGGGUGGCACAAUUCAAGAGAGGAUACUGAUGAAAUCACACUCAAACCUGAGUCUGAACAAGUCAGCAGAGCGCAGCUUUUGGGAGUGAGUCAUGUUAAAACCAAGCAUAUGCUCAAGUGUUUUGCUGGAUCAUGGCCAUAUUGAACUAUAAUGACCUAAAUGGAUUUGCUCCCCAGACAAAUUUACCCUUUGCUUUCCUCCUGCCCACACAUACAUUUGCACCUCAAUCAAUCACUUAUGUCUCCUUCUAUUUCCUGCAUCCUACUUUUAUGAAAAACUUUAUGACUUCUUUAAUCUCUUCUAAGCAUGGCUUUAUUUCCUCUACUGGUUUCCUUGAUAAUUCAUCAUCAGGGCUUUUUUGCCCCUACCUAAAGAUUUUCAAUUUUAGUGUAGAAAUUUAAUAAAAACAAAUUUGUUAAGUAAGACUUGUUAAAG
Molecule: long non-coding RNA, 1018 nt
Filed under: Zonotrichia albicollis (white-throated sparrow)
Lineage: Eukaryota; Metazoa; Chordata; Aves; Passeriformes; Passerellidae
Description: lncRNA (ENSZALG00000001190.1)
Source: RNAcentral